Molecule: ribosomal RNA, 83 nt
Filed under: Hypera postica (alfalfa weevil)
Lineage: Eukaryota; Metazoa; Arthropoda; Insecta; Coleoptera; Curculionidae
Description: partial 16S ribosomal RNA
Source: RNAcentral
UGGUUUCUAUCUCAAAUAAUUAAUAAUACUCUAGUACGAAAGGAUUGAGUAUUAAAUUUAAAAUUUUAUUAUUGAAUAAUAUU